GGGACAUAGUAGAGCUGAUUGUUCAAGGA
RNAcentral lists this non-coding RNA (29 nucleotides) under Rattus norvegicus (Norway rat). The record is from RNAcentral. Lineage: Eukaryota; Metazoa; Chordata; Mammalia; Rodentia; Muridae.